Capsicum annuum is the source of this 112-nucleotide non-coding RNA. Lineage: Eukaryota; Viridiplantae; Streptophyta; Magnoliopsida; Solanales; Solanaceae. The record is from Rfam.
ACCUCAUGAUUUGGGCAUUGGGCUAACUUUCCAUUAAACCUCUCCCAAGCUUCAAAUAACGGUUCUCCAUUCAUUUGUCGGAAGUUCACAAUCUCAUCCCCCUUUUGAAGCA